Long non-coding RNA from Gigantopelta aegis, 372 nucleotides. RefSeq lists it as uncharacterized. The record is from RefSeq and is a predicted model, not a curated record. Lineage: Eukaryota; Metazoa; Mollusca; Gastropoda; Neomphalida; Peltospiridae. The transcript has 3 exons.
AAAACCCACUGUUCAGCAUAUGCACGGCACUGUGUAUGCGGCUGGUGAAAUUUCUAUGAUAUUUUGCUCUGGGAUGACUGUAAUCCGGACACGGCACGGGAAUCGCCAUCAGUCGUGAAGAAUCCAAUCGUGAGUGGAGAGACGUCUGAUGAGAAGUCACUUGAACACUGAGCUGCAGAAUGUUCUUCGUCUCCUAUUGUGUCGUCAAGCCGGAGAUUUGCUGUACAGGAACUCGCCUGCCUGUGUACCACCUCCAGUUGAGAUCCGUGUUGGUCGGAGAAGUCUAAUGUCACUGGGAAUUCCAUCCGCAUCCUUGACGAUGUAUGACUGUCUAUCACAAUGGUGUACCACAGCGUUGAACUCUUCUUGACU